CUAUCCCUGCUGAGGCAGCGUUCGGCAUUCCCACGGUUCCCUUUGGAGAGUGUUUCACUUGGUGACCUGCGUUCCUGCAGUAGCCCCUCGGUUUCAUCUGUGCUCCGCGUUUACGCGCUCACUACUUGCAUCCUUUGCAGUGGUUUAUCCAGUUUUCAUCCUCCCUCCGCGUUCUGGGUCCACAUUCGUGACAUUUGCC
Alosa sapidissima (American shad) is the source of this 199-nucleotide long non-coding RNA. RefSeq lists it as uncharacterized. The transcript has 3 exons. The record is from RefSeq and is a predicted model, not a curated record. NCBI's taxonomy places the organism in Eukaryota, Metazoa, Chordata, Actinopteri, Clupeiformes, Clupeidae.